Molecule: long non-coding RNA, 459 nt
Filed under: Homo sapiens (human)
Lineage: Eukaryota; Metazoa; Chordata; Mammalia; Primates; Hominidae
Description: TAF1A antisense RNA 1
Source: RNAcentral
UAUGAGCAGGCGCUAAACCUGGUUUAGGUAUUUAGGCAGCGCGCGGCCCGGCUCGUAACUCCUCCUGCUGCAGCAGGCGUAUCGUUGGCCUCGCCUCGACCCCGGAAGUGACUUCUGGAAGUGACCCAGGAAGUGACAUACUCUGAGCAGCUACAAAAAGAAGACCAGUCUAUCCUGCUGGAGACAGUGGCCACGUGAAGAAAGAGCUCUUGCAGUAUGAAAGACCACAUGGAAAGAGAGGCCACAUGGAACCAACAGUCAGCAUCUUGGUUUCGGACACGUGAAGAAAUUCAUCUCAGACUGUGUAUCCUAAAUCAGGCACUUGCUGAAUCUAACUACAUGAGUGAGACCAGUUGACAACACAUGGAGCAGACAUGAGCUGUUCUCAGUGAGUCCUACACAAAUUCCUGACUCACAACACUGUGAGCAAUAAAAUGGUUGUUAUUUUAAGCCACUGAA